CGAAGGCCUGCAGGUAAGAAAGUCAUGCUGGAGUUUUUAUUUUGUCAUUAACAGUACUCUCUUUGCAGAUCGUACAACCCUAUCUACAGCAAUAUGAGGAUGGAAAUAUCAUGGUAGAUCAAACCUUGAAUCAAUUGGGCCAGUAUGCACACAAGAGCCCAAUAUCAAAUAGGUCUGAUAUCACCUAUAUGGUAACAAGCCGAAGUCUGGUGAAAAUUAGAGGAGGGAAACGCGUUGGUUCUACUUUAGGAAUGGCACACAAGGGGAAAGCCUGCAGGCCUGGCAGAGCUGGCGUAGGAUUGGACAGGCCUGUUACCUUCUCCGGUGUGCAAACGGCCGCUCAUGAAAUCGCACAUUUGUUGAACGCUCCUCACGACGGCGAUGAAGAAGCGAAGGAUUGCCCAUCAGAAGACGGAUAUUUGAUGAGUAGCCCACGAAGAAGCGGAAAUAACAGCUGUGCGUUUUCCAGCUGCACCAAGAAGAUUAUUGCCGACUU
Molecule: non-coding RNA, 496 nt
Organism: Dermacentor andersoni
Lineage: Eukaryota; Metazoa; Arthropoda; Arachnida; Ixodida; Ixodidae
Source: RefSeq, a predicted model, not a curated record